Molecule: ribosomal RNA, 375 nt
Filed under: uncultured organism
Description: partial 16S ribosomal RNA
Rfam family: Bacterial small subunit ribosomal RNA
Source: RNAcentral
GUAGGGAGCAAACGUUGUCCGGAUUUAUUGGGCGUAAAGGGCUCGUAGGCGGUUCAACAAGUCGGUCGUGAAAACCCGGGGCUCAACCCCGGGACGCCGGUCGAAACUGUUGUGACUAGAGUUCGGUAGAGGUGAGUGGAAUUCUCGGUGUAGCGGUGGAAUGCGCAGAUAUCGAGAGGAACACCAUUAGCGAAGGCGGCUCACUGGGCCGAUACUGACGCUGAGGAGCGAAAGCGUGGGGAGCAAACAGGAUUAGAUACCCUGGGUAGUCCACGCCGUAAACGAUGAACACUAGGUGUGGCGGACUGAUUCAUGUCUGCUGCGCCGUAGCUAACGCAUUAAGUGUUCCGUCUGGGGAGUACGGCCGCAAGGCUA